UAUACAUGCAGUCGAGCGAACAGACGAGGAGCUUGCUCCUCUGACGUUAGCGGCGGACGGGUGAGUAACACGUGGAUAACCUACCUAUAAGACUGGGAUAACUUCGGGAAACCGGAGCUAAUACCGGAUAAUAUAUUGAACCGCAUGGUUCAAUAGUGAAAGACGGUUUUGCUGUCACUUAUAGAUGGAUCCGCGCCGCAUUAGCUAGUUGGUAAGGUAACGGCUUACCAAGGCAACGAUGCGUAGCCGACCUGAGAGGGUGAUCGGCCACACUGGAACUGAGACACGGUCCAGACUCCUACGGGAGGCAGCAGUAGGGAAUCUUCCGCAAUGGGCGAAAGCNUGACGGAGCAACGCCGCGUGAGUGAUGAAGGUCUUCGGAUCGUAAAACUCUGUUAUUAGGGAAGAACAAAUGUGUAAGUAACUAUGCACGUCUUGACGGUACCUAAUCAGAAAGCCACGGCUAACUACGUGCCAGCAGCCGCGUAAUACGUAGGUGGCAAGCGUUAUCCGGAAUUAUUGGGCGUAAAGCGCGCGUAGGCGGU
RNAcentral lists this ribosomal RNA (545 nucleotides) under Staphylococcus sp. SS32. RNAcentral's name for it is "bacterial SSU rRNA". It matches the Rfam family "Bacterial small subunit ribosomal RNA", at positions 50 to 579 of the family's 1533-position model. The record is from RNAcentral. Lineage: Bacteria; Bacillati; Bacillota; Bacilli; Caryophanales; Staphylococcaceae.